This 208-nucleotide long non-coding RNA is filed under the name Gallus gallus (chicken). Lineage: Eukaryota; Metazoa; Chordata; Aves; Galliformes; Phasianidae. The record is from RNAcentral.
GAAGGUGCAGACUCCAGCGCAUAGGUGUGCAUAUACUACAUAUAAAUAUAUGCACAAAUACGUAUGUGAAUUUGGCACUGCCAGAGGCUUCUCCAUCACAUAGCAACCAGACAGGACCCGUGACACAGAGCUGAAUGUGCGCGAUUCCUCCCAGCAGAGGUCAGUGAUCUGACACCAGACGAAUUUAAAAAAGCACAUUAGAAGUCCU